This is a long non-coding RNA of Cucumis melo (muskmelon), 250 nucleotides long. RefSeq lists it as uncharacterized. The record is from RefSeq and is a predicted model, not a curated record. Lineage: Eukaryota; Viridiplantae; Streptophyta; Magnoliopsida; Cucurbitales; Cucurbitaceae. The transcript is spliced from 3 exons.
AACUAAAUUAAAUUAUUUUCCUUAAGGGACGUCUUGGACCAAGUAACUGCUGCAGUGUGGGAUUUCUUCAGUAGGGGCUCGAGCAUUGCAACCUCUUUCUAGGUUAGGACCUCGUUGCUUGGAAAGCACACUUGCCUCGCGGUUAGAACUCGCCAAGUAAAUCUCCAGGUAGAGGACGAGGCAAGGGCAAAGGCAAGCUGGCGAGCGACCCGAAGUGACCGUGGUGAGCCUUAGGGACUUUUGUUUCCGC